This 1123-nucleotide ribosomal RNA is filed under the name Janthinobacterium sp. A6(2012). RNAcentral's name for it is "bacterial SSU rRNA". It matches the Rfam family "Bacterial small subunit ribosomal RNA", at positions 1 to 1123 of the family's 1533-position model. Lineage: Bacteria; Pseudomonadati; Pseudomonadota; Betaproteobacteria; Burkholderiales; Oxalobacteraceae. The record is from RNAcentral.
UAGAGUUUGAUUCAUGGCUCAGAUGAACGCUGGCGGCAUGCCUUACCCAUGCAAAGUCGAACGGCAGCACGGAGCUUGCUCUGGUGGCGAGUGGCGAACGGGUGAGUAAUAUAUCGGAACGUACCCUAGAGUGGGGGAUAACGUAGCGAAAGUUACGCUAAUACCGCAUACGAUCUACGGAUGAAAGUGGGGGAUCGCAAGACCUCAUGCUCGUGGAGCGGCCGAUAUCUGAUUAGCUAGUUGGUAGGGUAAAAGCCUACCAAGGCAUCGAUCAGUAGCUGGUCUGAGAGGACGACCAGCCACACUGGAACUGAGACACGGUCCAGACUCCUACGGGAGGCAGCAGUGGGGAAUUUUGGACAAUGGGCGAAAGCCUGAUCCAGCAAUGCCGCGUGAGUGAAGAAGGCCUUCGGGUUGUAAAGCUCUUUUGUCAGGGAAGAAACGGUGAAGGCUAAUAUCCUUUGCUAAUGACGGUACCUGAAGAAUAAGCACCGGCUAACUACGUGCCAGCAGCCGCGGUAAUACGUAGGGUGCAAGCGUUAAUCGGAAUUACUGGGCGUAAAGCGUGCGCAGGCGGUUUUGUAAGUCUGAUGUGAAAUCCCCGGGCUCAACCUGGGAAUUGCAUUGGAGACUGCAAGGCUAGAAUCUGGCAGAGGGGGGUAGAAUUCCACGUGUAGCAGUGAAAUGCGUAGAUAUGUGGAGGAACACCGAUGGCGAAGGCAGCCCCCUGGGUCAAGAUUGACGCUCAUGCACGAAAGCGUGGGGAGCAAACAGGAUUAGAUACCCUGGUAGUCCACGCCCUAAACGAUGUCUACUAGUUGUCGGGUCUUAAUUGACUUGGUAACGCAGCUAACGCGUGAAGUAGACCGCCUGGGGAGUACGGUCGCAAGAUUAAAACUCAAAGGAAUUGACGGGGACCCGCACAAGCGGUGGAUGAUGUGGAUUAAUUCGAUGCAACGCGAAAAACCUUACCUACCCUUGACAUGGCUGGAAUCCCCGAGAGAUUGGGGAGUGCUCGAAAGAGAGCCAGUACACAGGUGCUGCAUGGCUGUCGUCAGCUCGUGUCGUGAGAUGUUGGGUUAAGUCCCGCAACGAGCGCAACCCUUGUCAUUAGUUGCUACGA